GACCGACUAACAAUGAUCAGUAUCUACGAACAGACAAGGAGCUUGCUCCUUUGACGUUAGCGGCGGACGGGUGAGUAACACGUGGGUAACCUACCUAUAAGACUGGGAUAACUUCGGGAAACCGGAGCUAAUACCGGAUAAUAUUUCGAACCGCAUGGUUCGAUAGUGAAAGAUGGUUUUGCUAUCACUUAUAGAUGGACCCGCGCCGUAUUAGCUAGUUGGUAAGGUAACGGCUUACCAAGGCGACGAUACGUAGCCGACCUGAGAGGGUGAUCGGCCACACUGGAACUGAGACACGGUCCAGACUCCUACGGGAGGCAGCAGUAGGGAAUCUUCCGCAAUGGGCGAAAGCCUGACGGAGCAACGCCGCGUGAGUGAUGAAGGUCUUCGGAUCGUAAAACUCUGUUAUUAGGGAAGAACAUACGUGUAAGUAACUAUGCACGUCUUGACGGUACCUAAUCAGAAAGCCACGGCUAACUACGUGCCAGCAGCCGCGGUAAUACGUAGGUGGCAAGCGUUAUCCGGAAUUAUUGGGCGUAAAGCGCGCGUAGGCGGUUUUUUAAGUCUGAUGUGAAAGCCCACGGCUCAACCGUGGAGGGUCAUUGGAAACUGGAAAACUUGAGUGCAGAAGAGGAAAGUGGAAUUCCAUGUGUAGCGGUGAAAUGCGCAGAGAUAUGGAGGAACACCAGUGGCGAAGGCGACUUUCUGGUCUGUAACUGACGCUGAUGUGCGAAAGCGUGGGGAUCAAACAGGAUUAGAUACCCUGGUAGUCCACGCCGUAAACGAUGAGUGCUAAGUGUUAGGGGGUUUCCGCCCCUUAGUGCUGCAGCUAACGCAUUAAGCACUCCGCCUGGGGAGUACGACCGCAAGGUUGAAACUCAAAGGAAUUGACGGGGACCCGCACAAGCGGUGGAGCAUGUGGUUUAAUUCGAAGCAACGCGAAGAACCUUACCAAAUCUUGACAUCCUUUGACAACUCUAGAGAUAGAGCCUUCCCCUUCGGGGGACAAAGUGACAGGUGGUGCAUGGUUGUCGUCAGCUCGUGUCGUGAGAUGUUGGGUUAAGUCCCGCAACGAGCGCAACCCUUAAGCUUAGUUGCCAUCAUUAAGUUGGGCACUCUAAGUUGACUGCCGGUGACAAACCGGAGGAAGGUGGGGAUGACGUCAAAUCAUCAUGCCCCUUAUGAUUUGGGCUACACACGUGCUACAAUGGACAAUACAAAGGGCAGCGAAACCGCGAGGUCAAGCAAAUCCCAUAAAGUUGUUCUCAGUUCGGAUUGUAGUCUGCAACUCGACUACAUGAAGCUGGAAUCGCUAGUAAUCGUAGAUCAGCAUGCUACGGUGAAUACGUUCCCGGGUCUUGUACACACCGCCCGUCACACCACGAGAGUUUGUAACACCCGAAGCCGGUGGAGUAACCAUUUGGAGCUAGCCGUCG
This 1436-nucleotide ribosomal RNA is filed under the name Staphylococcus haemolyticus. Its description in RNAcentral is "bacterial SSU rRNA". It matches the Rfam family "Bacterial small subunit ribosomal RNA". The record is from RNAcentral. Lineage: Bacteria; Bacillati; Bacillota; Bacilli; Caryophanales; Staphylococcaceae.